Long non-coding RNA from Pseudophryne corroboree (corroboree frog), 2301 nucleotides. RefSeq lists it as uncharacterized. Lineage: Eukaryota; Metazoa; Chordata; Amphibia; Anura; Myobatrachidae. The transcript is spliced from 4 exons. The record is from RefSeq and is a predicted model, not a curated record.
UGUGCCGUGUUUACAAGGUUGCCAGGUAACGGACCGGGGAUUUGGUCCGUACGCGGAAGUGACGUGCUCUGUGCCCGAGGUCUAUUUACUAGACACGGACACAGACGCGUCGUAAAUGAUCGGCUUUACUAUAUAUAUGACAGCCGGGGGAUUUGUGUGCACUUGUAACAAUUUUGGUGCUCUGGCCCCUCCAUAAUGCCAUUGUCCGGGCGUGCUGUGAUCACGUAAUUUGAAGGAGCUGGGCGCGUGGGCGGCCGGUGUCAUGGACGGACCGGAGGAGGUAUAAAGAUUCCAAGAUUGACCCCAAUGUGGUUGCUAAUAAGAUGCUUGGAAGUUCCCUUUGAUUGGAACUACCAAGGUGUCUGAGGAUUGUCAUACUGGAGGAGCAGAGAGAACAAGGCCACAUACAUGAAACUUACAUAUUCAAAGUGUCUCACUUUAACAAGGCGGUAGGUAUGUGACAUGCAAGAUAUACCUUUGCCACGAACAGACCACGGCAUAACGAAAAAUAAAUAAAUAUGAUUGACAAGGAAGUCAGUCCUGCAGCCUGGUUCAGCUAGAACUGCCAAGCCUAGCAUCUGAGGUGUGUUUGCUGUGGCAUAUAAUAACUAUGUACUAUAUGGAUUGGUUUCCAAAACACUCCUGAAUAUAUCUUUGACGUUGCGUCUAACUGCCUCAUAUCAUCAUCUCUGACAUUUGCAUAUUUGGGGUUCAUUUUGCACUCGAUAUAGGCUAUGGAUAAGGUCAGAAUCCUGAAUAAUGUUCAAGAAAAUUCCUUUUGCGCAUUUCAUUGAGAUCUUCACAAUAUGUGGCAAACAAUCCUGGGUAUUGGGCUAAAAAAAAUCUACAGUAAAAUAAUCUAAAAUUUUUAGGAGUUUUAAGGAUAGUGAUUCCAAUUGCGGCUCCAGAGCAGGUGAUGCAGUUCAGUUCAAAUAUCAAACUGUCACCAACUGCCAUUUCAAACUGACUCACUGGCAGUUGAUGUCUCCCCUAUUUUAAUUUAGAACUGAGCUUCAGCCCCAACUCUGGAGCUGCCAUUGGCGAUUUCUGGUUUUAUCCAUAGCAUAUAUAAAUAUAGAUUUCUAUAUGUAUCCACAUAUGUACAUGUAUAUACAUAUUCAUACAUACAAAUAUUUACAGAUUGUGUGUGUAUAUAUAAAUAUAUAUAUUUACCAACAUAGAUAUGUAUACACAGGACACACUGACAUGACUAGGGAACUCUCAGAGUCUACUUUUUAUUUAACUUUCAGUUUGUUUCUUAACUUUAUUCCUGGAAGAAUAGCAGAAUACCAAGUAUCAGACAGUUAAGUAGCUUACUUCCUUCUUUGGAUUGCUUAACCACCCCUUUUAAUCUAGAUGUGAAAAGCUUAUUCUUAUUUUAACACAUGUAAAAAAAAAUAUAUAUAUAUUAUUUAAUAACAUGUGGCAAACAGCAAUAUAUGCUGUAAGCCUUAGCAGUCAACCAGUAAUUAUCAUCCAGUGGCAACAAACCUUAUGAUUAGUUGCCAUUGGUUACAACAUAUCAAUUUUUAAAGAUGCAGAUUAUUAGCUAUACAUUGAUGUUUGCAUCAUUUGCUGAAUCCACAAACCUCCUUUUUCACAGGACUGGUUUAAUAAAUACUGACUCAGAUUGUUACCUGUAAGUCUUUCCUGUGAUUCUUAAUCCAUUUUCUGGAAGAAGCAUUUAAUAUUACAAUCUUAUCUAUGAUUGUGCAUCAAUAAAGUAGAUUUGGUCCAUUUCAAUAACAACUUGAAACUUUUGUCACUGCAGAACUUUAGUAUAUAUAUAUAUAUAUAUAUAUAUAUAUAUAUAUUCUAAAGUUCUGCAGUGACACAUCUCUUUGGGCUUUGGUGGGAAACCCACUACUGUUCCCUUGACACAGAUCCCUACAGUUUUAAUUCUUCAGACCAUGGUGGCAGAAGUAGGAAGAAACUAUUUAGUUAUGUCUUCAUAUGAAAGGUCAAAGUUUCAAAUUUUUCUAGCUUAUUAUAAAGUGGUAACAGUUUAAUAAAAAGGUCAAAAGAUUUUAUAAUUUUUUUUCAUUAAUCGACAAAGUUAUUAGUUUAACAUUGUUGUACAUUGCAUAAUAUUAUGAGGAUGACCACAGUGUUUAAACCAUUGAUAAAAUACAUAAACUAAGGUAUUUUUAAACUGGAGCUUUAUAGAAAAUGUUAAAUAAUAUUUGUGUAUUUUUGUUAAGUAUGACAACAGAUUCCUAUUUAUAUUCAAAAUGUCUCAUUUGUCAUUUUCCAGGGUAAUAAUAAAAAAACUCUCUCAAAAAUAAAUGUAUCUAAAGGUGG